This 496-nucleotide ribosomal RNA is filed under the name Arabidopsis thaliana (thale cress). Lineage: Eukaryota; Viridiplantae; Streptophyta; Magnoliopsida; Brassicales; Brassicaceae. The record is from RNAcentral.
GGCAAAUUUGGCAUGUGAUACCUUUUCGGAAAGCCCAAAGAGAGCCCUCCGACGAAAGAAGCAAGACAAUGGAACUUUUCCAUUGACUUUUUGUCGACUCCAAAUUUUGACCUUUAAGUACUUUUUCGGGCAUUUUCGUGAUUUGUGCUAUAUUACGGACCCAAAAUUACUUUUUCAAGCAUUGUUUUCGAAUAUUUUUCAUGCAUCAAAGCUCGUUAAGACUAGAUGGGGUAUCCCUACAUGGCGGGUGGGACCCACGGCGAACGGUUCAUCAAGACUUAAAAAAAGAAUAUAUACGAUUGCAUUGCAUAUACUAACGGAUGCGAUCAUACCAGCACUAAUGCACCGGAUCCCAUCAGAACUCCGCAGUUAAGCGUGCUUGGGCGAGAGUAGUACUAGGAUGGGUGACCUCCCGGGANGUNCUCGUGUUGCAUCCCUCUUUUUUUUUUUUUUUUUUUGGUUAAAACUUUAUGACUCCAUAACUUUUAGACCGUAA